This 245-nucleotide long non-coding RNA is filed under the name Solanum tuberosum (potato). RNAcentral's name for it is "long non-coding RNA (STUB_LNC006162)". The record is from RNAcentral. Lineage: Eukaryota; Viridiplantae; Streptophyta; Magnoliopsida; Solanales; Solanaceae.
CGCAGACGCAGGAAGCAGUUCCUCUAUGGCAAAUUGGAAACGUCGAAGUAGGUUGUGGCUUAUAAAUAGGAAGAUAAGAUGUUAGCGGACCGACUUGACAAGACCCCCUUUUGCUCUAUCUAACUUGGCGUGCGCUCCUUCCGGCCCUGCGAGAACAUAUUCGGACACGCGCGCUACUCAUAUCGGUACUAGAAGCCCCCAGAGCAGGCCUGGAAGACUAUGAGCCCCACCUUCUGCGCGCGAGC